GAUGAACGCUGGCGGCGUGCCUAAUACAUGCAAGUCGAGCGGACGGACGAGCUGCUUGCUUCUCUGUUGUUAGCGGCGGACGGGUGAGUAACACGUGGAUCACCUAUCUAUAAGACUGAGAUAACUUCGGGAAACCGGAGAUAAUACCGGAUAAUAUUUUGAACCGCAUGGUUCAAAAGUGAAAGACAGUCUUGAUGUCACUUAUAGAUGGAUCCGCGCUGCAUUAGCUAGUUGGUAAGGUAACGGCUUACCAAGGCAACGAUGCAUAGCCGACCUGAGAGGGUGAUCGGGCACACUGGAACUGAGACCCGGUCCAGACUCCUACGGGAGGCAGCAGUAGGGAACCUUCCGCAAUGGGCGAGAGCCUGACGGAGCAACGCCGCGUGAGUGAGGAAGGUCUUCGGAUCGUAAAACUCUGUUAUUAGGGAAGAACAGAUGUGUAAGUAACUGUGCACAUCUUGACGGUACCUAAUCAGAAAGCCACGGCUAACUACGUG
This 497-nucleotide ribosomal RNA is filed under the name uncultured bacterium. RNAcentral's name for it is "partial 16S ribosomal RNA". It matches the Rfam family "Bacterial small subunit ribosomal RNA", at positions 28 to 507 of the family's 1533-position model. The record is from RNAcentral.